UACGGAGGUGGCAAGCGUUACUCGGAAUCACUGGGUGUAAAGGGUCCGUAGGCGGCGAUGCAAGUGAGAGGUGAAAUCCUUCGGCUCAACCGGAGAAUUGCCUCUUAUACUGCAUUGCUGGAGGAUAUGAGAGGAGAGUGGAACUGCACGUGUAAAGGUGAAAUUUGUGGAUAUGUGCAGGAACGCCAAUGGUGAAGACAACUCUCUGGCAUAUUUCUGACGCUAAGGGACGAAAGCGUGGGGAGCAAACAGG
This 253-nucleotide ribosomal RNA is filed under the name uncultured bacterium. RNAcentral describes it as "partial 16S ribosomal RNA". It matches the Rfam family "Bacterial small subunit ribosomal RNA", at positions 524 to 776 of the family's 1533-position model. The record is from RNAcentral.